CUCGGAGUCGAGAGGCGAGACUAGAGACGAGACUCGAGAGGAUUUUUCCAGUUUGCUUAGGACAGGUGUGAAGUGUGGGGUGUAUGUAGUUGACUAGGAUUCGUUUUACUUGGUGUUUUUUUCCACAUCGCCGUUGUGUAUGGAUAACUAAGAAUGGCUUGGGUUGCAUCGAAUACCUACUUUAGAGAUGUACGAAACCAAUUGACCGGACUUUCACUUAUCAUCAAACUGUUGAAAUUGCAGCGCGAUAGGACAGGAGUGUCAACCACUGAACAUGCAGAUCGGUUCUUAACUACUAGUACUUUCUGAGUGAAACGAAUGACUGCAGUCUAGCAAAUUCGAAGUGUUGUGAUGUUGUACAAAGCAGAAAUUCUACAAAUGACAAGUGGAAUCUUAGGACAUCUAAUCAAAUGCUUCAAGAUUCUACCAUGGCUGACUUUCUUCAAUCCCAUUUUUUUUUAAUUUAUUCAGAUACAUACCAGCUAUCAGGUAAUUAAAUAGUAUGGAUCAAAAUAUCUUUAAUUUCUCAUCAGCUUAAUUAAUAGCAGUUAUCACUUAGUUUUAUAUACUUCACAGGUUUUGCUUAAAUUUUACAUGAGUUUAAUAGCUGCUAUUACAUUGCUAUUUUUCUCUGGCAUGAUACAUAAUUUUCACUUCAAUCUUGCACCAAUGAAAUGUGUUAAAAGGAUAGUUCAGUAUAUUUUGGGACAUGUAUUGGCUAUGUACCUUGUUGGUUUGUUUUCAGCCAGCAGGUGGAUGUAUUAUCAGUAUUCUUAAGUUUUACUCUCUGCCAUCAGGUGGCUGUAUGCUUCAGGGUACAUAAUUCAUUAUCUAAAUAUCUUAGUCAUUUUAAUAGCUACACCAAUAUUGAGCACAUUUUGUAUCAUGAGGCUACAGAACAUUUUCCCUUGAGAAUUUUAGGUCAGUGUCAUUUGUUGCUCCUAAUAUUGCUGUAAUAUCAACAAGUCCAGUAAACUUAAUCUUACUUGUAUACCAUAUCAGGAUUUGUACUGUCAUUUGUUUGACAUAUUCUUUAGUCAUUUUUUAAUGGUUAGGUAAUUUAUUGUUCCCUGUAUAGGUUUUACUUUGUUCACAUGCUCAGUAAUUCAAUACUGUAAUUAUUUGGAAACCAUGAUUUUUGUCCAAGUUGAUGCUUGGUUAAUAGUAGGAAAUCUUGAAAUUUUAGUUUUUAUGGAGACCACACUAGCUUUUGUGAAAUUCUCACUAUCUGUUAGCUAGUAGGUUAUUAAUAAUGAAUAGGUUUUACUGAGGUUUUAUCAAUAUUUCUUUGAGGUAGAGAUGAUCAAGUUAUUUAGAACCUGCAUAAGCUAGUUAAAAAUUCUUGGCUCCAUUUACACAUGAAGAUGAUAUUGUUAAACUACAAUAAAGUUUUGUACAUACUUACCUGGCAGAUAUAUACUUAGCUAUAGUCUCCGACGUUCCCGACAGAAUUUCAAAUCUCGCGGCACACGCGACAGGUAGGUCAGGUGGUCUACCUUACCCGCCGCUGGGUGGCGGAUGUACGAACCACUCCCGUUUGCUUGUCAGAUUUUUCUCUUCCACCU
This is a long non-coding RNA of Macrobrachium nipponense, 1565 nucleotides long. RefSeq lists it as uncharacterized. Lineage: Eukaryota; Metazoa; Arthropoda; Malacostraca; Decapoda; Palaemonidae. The transcript is spliced from 4 exons. The record is from RefSeq and is a predicted model, not a curated record.